UUUUUUUAUGUGCCUUUUAAAUAUAUAUAUAUAUAUAUAUAUAUAUAUAUAUAGCAAAUAAAAUUUUAUCAUAUUAUCAGACGUAUAUGUUUAUAUAUUUAGCAACAGUUACUGCACUAUAGACUAGUUACUUUGUUUCAGAAUCAAGAGUUUUAGCAAAGAAGCUAAAGCAACGGCUGGAACCUUCUGGCCUUUGCGUUACCCCAGAAAAAAAAUAAACAAAAUUAGAAGAUUGUCUAAAAUUCUUUAAAACUUGUAACUUUUUUAAUAUACUUUUUAUCAAGGUUAAUAGGUACAGCGUUACAGGCACCAAGAGCAUAUAUAGUUACACAGACCUUGACUGGUCAUAAAUUAACAUCGGUAAACAUGAACAAAAAGUGAUCAUUGAAAUAUACCUGUAUCAUAGCGUAACUACAGAAAUAAAAACCUGAAGUCCACAAUAAGUAACAAACCUCAGACUUUCAAAUUAAAGGCAGCUAGAAAUGCUUUGUGAAAUUACUACUGUUAGGGGUAAUGUGAACCUGACUGCAGCCAUCUUGUUCCUCGCAGCCAUCUUGUGAUGAUUAGAAACCAUUUUGUAAUGAUUAGACUUUAUUAUACUGGGUUAUUAUGUAGUGGGAACUAUGUGCUUGUUAUGGUAGCUUCCUUAGCUGUUCGGCCUUGUAGAAGCUUCCUGGCUGUACGCCCAUAAGAAUAUAAUGUCAAUAAGAUGGUCCAGAGACCUUGUUGUCUCUGCAGAUGUUAGCUUAUUAUGACUAUCGAUUAUUGUUAUGAGCUAGUGAAUUUCCAGAAUCACACUGUGCUCUACUCUGUAUAACUGUGUAAGAUGACGCGGUCCUAACGUGUCAUCCCCUUAACCCUGUAUGUUGUUACUGAAGUCUAUAAGAUAGGCUUGCACUGUUCAAUAAACAUGAUUGGCGUUAGAUAAUAUUGCUGCGUGGUCUGAGUCAUUCUAAGGGAUCCUUAUCAGAUAAUCUACAUCUGCCUCAGGUGGUACAGUGGGCCCGUGGCUUCGGCCUGACCUGACACUUACCCCCCUGGGGAAACACCUAACAAUUUUGGUGUCAGAAGUGGGAUUCGCAGUGAGUGAGUAUGAGUGCUUUUACCAUGCUUUCCUUCUGUGAAUCUGAAACUAAAUUUAGUCUGGUAAUAGGUGUUGAUAAUAUAUGAUAAAGGGUUAAGGGGUUCCUGUGGUUGAGACGCAGGUUUGCAGAGGUUAUAGUCCUGCCGGCAGUUGUGAUAACCCCUCCAGACAGGUUAAGAGUCCUGUGCUGGGUUACGACAGGUAUUGUGAGUCCUGUCUGUGAUAAGCGCGCAAGAAAUAAAUGAAUGCCAUUUGAUGGCAGGUUUUAAAGCUAAGCUCCCCCGGGAGGUUGGCAGUGAGUGAGUCUCACGUGUGUUAAAGUUUCCCAUAUUCAUUCCCAUAAUAGAGUUUUGUUACCCACCUGAAACUCAUGUUGAUAUCUGAUGCUUGCUUUGCUUUGUUUGUGUUUUGCUGCUAUAUAAUUGCUUAGAAAAUAUUAAGUGGCUAUGCAUGUUAUUAUUGUGGCUAUUAUUGUGUGGAGGAAUGGGAUCUGCUUAUAGAUAAUAAUGCACAGAGAAAAGUACAUGUAUAAGGUCGAAAAAAAAAAUGAGUUAAUAGUUUCUGCAAAAGACAGAAGCGUUUUAAAACACUGUCAGUGAGUACUGCUGUGUGGUAAAUAGAGAAAUCUCUGUGUUAAAAAAAAUGUAGCAGGCAAAGAAGGGGAGGGGGGCCACCACUGAGCGCUCACACAGGUCAGAGAACAGAAAAAAAAGAAAAAAAAGAAACUGUUACAGCAGCUCCGUUUGUAAGACUUUUUGUUUGCUUGCAGUAAUGAAAAGGAAAUUAUUUUGUAUAUUGAGAUGCAUAAUGUGUGAUGGUCUGUCGGUUCUCACUGUGGUAUGCGUGUAACAGAUUUACUUUAAACCAAAAACAGAAUGUAUUAUUUGAAAAUGAUUGUCCCAAUCCAUGCAAAAAAUUGCCAUUUUGCGGGUAUUCGGAAGGAAAUACAUUUUGAACUUGGUGACAAGUUAAUCUUGUGGGUUUUUUUAUGUAUUUGGUACGCUAUGAAAUAGAUGUUUUUCUGAGAAAGGAAAAAAGGGAGUGAAUCUCUGGUAUGUGAGAUGAGAUGGGUUUGUGUGUCUGUAUCGCUGUAAAAAUGUUUCUUUCUGUUUCUCUGCUGGGAAAUCAGACGUUGUAAGGAGGUAUUUUGUAGUGUUAUUUUUUAUACUUGUAUUUUAAAGUCAGCAGCAUGUUUUAAGUAUGUGGCAUUAAUAAGCAGUUUUAGUUUUAAGUGAUAAUUGUUUUUCGGCAUGUAAAUAUAUGAUAUUGUUUUAGCAAGUGAAGUAACGGCUUUGAAAGUGGAUUUGAAAGUGCGACGGUGUGUGUGAUUUUUGUCACGCUCUGGUAAAUAUGAAACUGUUUCUUGUAUGAUUAAUGGGUUAACGUAUGUUGUAUUUGUAAGGUCUGUGCACGGAGUUAGUGCACACAAUGAAAUAUAGUUAUAGGCUGCAAUUUACAUUUUAUUAUUUAAAGGAUCAGUUCACUCUGGUGAAAGGAGUUCAGGAGCAGCAAUAACACUGUAUUAGUAGUUUGCAAAAUAUAUUUUAAGAGACCUUUCUUUGUAUAUAUUUAUUUUAAAUCUGCCGUUUAAAUAGCAGAUAUUUCUUUUUGCAGUAUAACUUAAUUCUCUCUGUAAUGCAAACUGAAGUGAUAAGUUGUCUACAAUUUUAGUGUAACGAUCUGUGAGACUAGCGGAAAAAAAAAAACACAAGAAAAAAACAGAGGAGUGAAAAUAUUUAAAGGGAUACAGGCAAACUGAUAUAACAUCUGAGAAUUUAAGGGAAUAUUUACAUAAAAGACAAUGACGUUUACUGUAAGCCUAACACUAGAAUAUUUCACUGUGUUAGCAGCUUCAAUUAAAGAUUAUUUUUUUAGUUUGGGUAAAAUGUCCCUUUAACUAGCCUGCAUCCCACUGUGAAUGCGUUCUUAUGCUGCUUAUGCUUGCUUAGGCUAUUUAAUGAACGUCAGUAUACAUUUUUUAUUAUAAGUAAGGCCAAUGGAUCAUUGGGAAUAAUUUAAAGGGGAAAUUUUAUUGUUAUUCUUUUGUAGAAAGCAUAUUUUUGUGUUAUAUGCAGUUGUUACAUUUGGCUGGAGAGCUGCAGAAUGGUGAAUAUCAAAUUAUACACAACGUUAAAUCCAAUAAUUUUGUUGUGGUUAAACUAAUUAGCAUUUAUCAAGUUUUAGUGUGAAUUUUAUAUUUUUAAGCAGUAAACAGUGUUUUUCCUUUAAGUAAAAAUGAAACUUUGAGCUUGCCUUACUAUCCUUGAGAAGAAUGAUAACACUGUGCAUGUUUUGGUUUUCUUUAAAAAAAAAAAAAAAAAAGGUUCUCUCUCGUGUUUGGCUUACACUUUACACUAAAAAUACCAGGAGGAAAAAGUGAUUUUGAUGAUAAAAGUACAUUGGAAAGUUGGUUAAAAUUAAAAGUCCUAUCUGAAUAAUGAAAUUUUCAUUUAUACUAGUAUGUCCCUUUAACAGUGGAUUUGCUUGGUGCAUGCGGCAGGAGAACGGUGGCUGUACCAUGGUUAUCUGAUCUUUCCCAAAUAAGCGCAAAUUUAUUUGUACAAUAUGCAACUGAAGUUUCUUGAGCAUCUGCUGUGAUUGCUUUAUUUGUGUGAUAUCAAAGUUUUGUACAUAGUAGACGUUGCAGAGCCUGGGUAUAGAUGGUUCUUAGGGGGAUGUUUUUAAUUAUUUGUAGUGUUUUGCGAGUGUUGCAUUUCAGUGAAUGUCAGAAUAUGUGUUGAAUUUUAGGUUAAUUGUGGUUGUUUGAAAUUUGUGUCGGCAGCUAAUGUUUUGUUUUGUGAAAGACAAGAACAAGUGGUUUUCAAUGUUUGUUUGUUAUGUUUUUCUCUUUUGUGACUACGUGUGGAAGCGUGCUGUAUGGACAGCAUAUUGAAUAGUGAAGUGUAUUUGAUUUUGCUUGCUAUUGAGAAUUGUCUCUGCAUGAGUGGAGUGCAUGAUUUGUCGUUUAGUUUCUUGUUAUGUUGUGUUUGCGUGUCACAUGGGAUGUUUCACGCAAACAAGGGGGAAGUAUUGAUGAGUAUUGAUGAAUAUCUUUAUGUAAUGGGGGUGAUUGUUUUUAGGAGGUGUACCUAAAACGUUUUGAAUCUCCUCUUACAAUGUUAUUGCCUAACCACCAGCUGUGCCCUAAAUUUCCCUGUCUUAUCCCAAUGCAGGAUGCACUACGUCCCUAGGAUUGUCUAGAACUUUCCUUCAUUGGGAAUCUGGCCACGGACAUCAUCUACCUUGAUAGCCACCCCGGUCAUAGCCUGUAGACCCAGACCCCACUCUUUUUUCCCUCCCUGGUGGAUUAGAUCUCUUCAUUGUCUCUCUGUGUUGUAUUUUGCUCUCAUAUUUCAGAUGCCUAAAAUGUUUUAUUUUUCUAUUUGGUUCUUAACACUAUAUUUGGAUUUUUAGGAUGAGAGUAUGCUGCUGUAUCCAGAGAUUAAAAGACACUAACUGAAUUAUCUUUGAGUUUCCAUAUUUAGGUAAAAUCUGUACAGGCAAAAUUCCAUAAGUGCACUCUUCAAAAGAUUAAAUAUUGAAAGCAAGUAAACCUUUAAAGAAAGAAAAGAUGAAUAUGAAAGACCUUUUGUCAAGCUUGUUUUAACCACCAUACUGCAGUAAAAGUUGCUGAACUAUCUUUGGAUCCAUUCUUUGCUUUGCAUGCUGGUACCAGCCCCAGAACUGGACUCUGGGUAAUCCAUGACUGUUUCCUCUGAUGUGUGUCUUCAGGACAUAAACACUAUCCUUCUCUGGACUGUGCCUUGCCGCUCGAAAUGGAGGACCUGAUUCCCUGUGACUCGAGUGUUUGCUUACCAUGGGUAUCCACUGGUUGCCUUGUCUACCCCAUGAACAAACCAUCAGAUUUCCAGCAUCUCCCUGCAGAAGAACAUUGGAUAAGCACCCCUACUGCAAAUGAACUGUUGGAGAACUGUAUUAUAGCAAAGUGUCAAGGUGCAGCGCUCUCAAAUGGACAAAGACUGUUCUUAAAGUGAUCAGAGGCCACCUAGAGACAGUUGUGCUGUUGCUAUGUCAUGCUUUACUGUGGAGAAGGAACUGUUGGACAUAUUGGGGGGUGCUAGCAAUGCAGGUGGAGAAAUAAAAGAUGCAGCGUUGUUUGGGGGUAGAUGGGGGGCUGGUUGGGUCUCUGUGCCGGUAGACCGGUAGUUUUGGGAAGGCUGGAAGAUAGAUGGAAGGUAUUGGAGGGACUGUACCUAUAUGCAGUGACAAUUAGCCUAUAAAAGUAUAUCACGACAUAGGAAUAUUUUUCUCUUUAGUAUUCUCACAUAGAGUUCUGUUACCAUAAUAUAAGGCUUUACUAAUUUUCUAUGCCUGUCUAUUUUUAUUCUGCUAGAAUAAAAGUAUGGUAUGUUAGGGGUAAUGUGAACCUGACUGCAGCCAUCUUGUUCUUCGCAGCCAUCUUGUGAUGAUUAGCAUCCAUUUUGUAAUGAUUAGACUUUAUUAUACUGGGUUAUUAUGUAGUGGGAACUAUGUGCUUGUUAUGGUAGUUUCCUUAGCUGUUCGGCCUUGUAGAAGCUUCCUGGCUGUACGCCCAGAAAAAUAUAAUGUCAAUAAGAUGGUCCAGAGACCUUGUUGUCUCUGCAGAUGUUAGCUUAUUAUGACUAUCGAUUAUUGUUAUGAGCUAGUGAAUUUCCAGAAUCACACUGUGCUCUACUCUGUAUUCCUUAACCCUGUAUGUUGUUACUGAAGUCUAUAAGAUAGGCUUGCACUGUUCAAAAAACAUGAUUGGCGUUAGAUCAUA
Bombina bombina (fire-bellied toad) is the source of this 5846-nucleotide long non-coding RNA. RefSeq lists it as uncharacterized. NCBI's taxonomy places the organism in Eukaryota, Metazoa, Chordata, Amphibia, Anura, Bombinatoridae. The record is from RefSeq and is a predicted model, not a curated record. The transcript is spliced from 2 exons.